Molecule: long non-coding RNA, 2935 nt
Filed under: Mus musculus (house mouse)
Lineage: Eukaryota; Metazoa; Chordata; Mammalia; Rodentia; Muridae
Description: RIKEN cDNA A230077H06 gene (A230077H06Rik)
Source: RNAcentral
AGCAGCAAGACCAAGUGACAGUGAAGACUAGGAGUCCGCAGUGUGGGAACAAGAACUGAGCGUCCAGCGCCGGGCGAGCAGGUGCCUGUGGCGCGGAGCGCACCAGGGAGCCAGCAGGCAGUGGCCCAGGUGCCGACAGAGGUCAGAAGGGAGCAUAAGGUCCUCCGUCCCCACCCUCCAACCCAGACUGGAGUUCCAGCAGUUGUAAGCCAGCUGACAUGGGUACUGGCAACUGAACUUCGUGUUCCUCUGGAAGAGCUGCCUGAGCUGCCAGGUCCACCCCAACUUUGUCUUAAUAAAUUCCAACUUUGAUUCAUUCGGAAGUUCUCUGUGUGCCUUAAGAGCCAGGGUAAUCCUGAAUGAGUUCUCAGGAGAGCAUCUCCAGGCUGCCAAUGAAGACUGGCCACAUUCCUGAGAACUGACUUUCUGCAAAGCCUCCCAGAGGGCCCAAAUUUAGAACACACGAAGUAAGAAAAGAUGCCUUCUCUGUUGUGCCUGCAAACAUAAGGAACACUAUACACAUUUCUGGAAAGAACAGGAAACAGUUUUCUGUCAGAGUGAAAGCUUCAGGUGCAGAGACUGGAGCACGUGGAAGUUUGCAAGAGCAGAGGCCUUCAUCCUAUGUCUGUGGAUUCAAGAGGUUAUGCAGAAUCUGGGUGUUUUCUGUCUAAGUUCCUCUUCCCAUCUUACCACCUGCACAGCAGAAGGAGAAAGGGAUGGGGCAGAGCAAAUAUAAGGCUUCAGAACAUUGGGAGUUCAGAGCACAUAUACUUUAGGACAUGUCUAUAGAGCAGGCUAUCACAAUCCCCUGAGCCAGAUCUCAGUAAGUAUGUAGUCUUGUUUACAUACAAGACUUGUGGAUUUGUUUUUGUACCUGUUCUUCCUACUACGUAUUGUACUGGAACUGUAGAGCAUAGGGUGAACAGGGCAAAGGGAAAGCCCUCUUCCCUCUCACCAAGGAGCUGGACAUUGAAAUCUACCUCAUAGGAGGCUCCUGUUGCGUGGCCCUAUUCCUUGGAAGACAGGAACAGGUAUUUACUCACCCCAGAUAGGGAACUGAAGGACCCUACCACAGUCCAACAUGAUGAACCUCUGAGUUUUAUUGGGGUUACUUACAACAGAAAUGACUCUCUGCAGCCAUAAACCAGUCCCAAUUAAGUACUUUCUUUUUAUAAAAAUUGCUUUGGUGUCUCUUCACAGCAAUCGAGCACUGACUAGAAGAAUAUGCUUGGGGAAGGAGGGGCCUGGUGAAUCUUGAUAGUUUCAGGAAUUUCUGAAGCGUUUGAAUGGACAUUUUUAGCUUACUAAGCUUCCAUGCAGGAUAGAAGGUUUUAUCACCUUUCGAGCAUCCUGUUGUUUCACCUCUGUUUACAUCCUGUGUCUUAAGGACUUUCUGUCUAAAAUGGGAGGGUUUAGUUGUAAAGGAAGCCAUUGAACAACAGCUCCUUUGCCAUGGAAAUUUGAGAGCUAUCCCCAAAUUAGAUGUCAUCUAUCAAGUCAGAAGAGCACAGAGAACAAUGGCAAUAAAAUUAAAGAUAAAUAACUGAACUGUGUUAAAAAAUUAGGAUCUGUCUUAGUCAGUGUUCUAUUGCUGUGACGAACACUAUGACCACCGCAAGUCUUGCACAGGAAAUUGUGGCUCAUUUUCAAUUUCAGAGGUUUAGUCCAUUAAUGUCAUGGUAGGAAGCAUAGUAAUGCACAAACAAAUAUGGUGCUGAAGAGAUGACUGAGAAUUCUACCUCCAGAUCUGUAGGCAACAGGAAGAAAGAAGCAAUGAGCCUGGCUUGAACAUUUGAACCCCCCAAACCCACUUCCAGUGUACUAGCUGGUUUUAUGUGUCAACUUGACACAAGCUGCAGUUAUCACAAAAAGAGAAGCUUCAGUUGAGGAAAUGCCUCCAUGAGGUCCAGCUGUAAGGCAUUUUCUCAAUUAGUGAUCAAGAGGGGAGGGCCCAUUGUGUGUGGUGCCAUCCCUGGGCUGAUAGUCCAGGGUUCUAUAAGAGAGCAGGCUGAACAAGUGAGGGAAAGCAAGCCAGUAAGUAGCAUCCCUCCAUGGCCUCUGCACCUGCUCCUGCUUCCUGACCUGCUUGAGUUUCAGUCCUGACUUCCUUUGGUGAUAAACAGCAACGUGGUGUAAGCUGAAUAAAUCCUUUCCUCCCCAACUUGCUUCUUAGUCAUGAUGUUUGUGCAGGAAUAGAAACCCCGACUAAGACACCCAGUGACACACGUACUCCAACAAGGGCACACCUCCUAGUCCCUGUCAAAUAGCACCUAAUGACCAAAUAUUCAAAUAUAUGAGCCUUUGGGGACCAUUCCUAUUCAAACCAUCACAGUAUCUUCUGUAACGGUAAUGAAUGUGAAAGAGCAAGCCAUUGACUGGAAGAAAAUAUCCAUGAUACCAUGAAUAUGUCUGACAGAGGAAUUGAUAUCUGGAAUAUGUAAAGAAUGACUGGGCAUGGUGGUAUAAAUGUCAUCUCAGAACUAGAGGUCAGGUAUGAUGAAACCACAGCAGUCUGGGUUUCAUAGGGAAUUUAGAGGCAGCCUGUAAGGAGCAAUUGAAAUAUUAAAUGAAUGUGUAUUGUUUGGCUUGGACACAGCCAUAUCAAAGACCACAGCCUAAGCACUGUGGGAGUGGCUAAGCCUUCCCUAAGUGAGUUGCCAAAGGAUAAAAGAAUCUUUCUUGGGUCCUAAUGGGAAUGCUGAGAGUGUAUGGAGAAAAUGUCCACCAUUGAACACCCCCCCCCACACACACACACAUCCAUGUUUAUGGUCUGAAGACUGAUCCUCUAUAGAGAUUGCUCCUAUUGUGAUUAGUUAAACCUGUCUCCUUGUUCAUCUGUAUACAGUACCUCUACCUCCUUGUUUAUUUCUAUGCAAUAACCUACCUACUCACACGUAAUAAAGAUGCUGAGCUUCUGAAAAAAAAAAAAAAAAAA